UACGAAGGGGGCUAGCGUUGCUCGGAAUCACUGGGCGUAAAGGGCGCGUAGGCGGGCUCUUAAGUCAGGGGUGAAAGCCCAAGGCUCAACCUUGGAAUUGCCUUUGAUACUGAGGGCCUUGAGACCGGAAGAGGUCGGCGGAACUGCGAGUGUAGAGGUGAAAUUCGUAGAUAUUCGCAAGAACACCAGUGGCGAAGGCGGCCGACUGGACGAUUGUUGACGCUGAGGUGCGAAAGCGUGGGGAGCAAACAGG
RNAcentral lists this ribosomal RNA (253 nucleotides) under uncultured bacterium. RNAcentral's name for it is "partial 16S ribosomal RNA". It matches the Rfam family "Bacterial small subunit ribosomal RNA", at positions 524 to 776 of the family's 1533-position model. The record is from RNAcentral.